This is a long non-coding RNA of Oxyura jamaicensis (ruddy duck), 228 nucleotides long. RefSeq lists it as uncharacterized. The record is from RefSeq and is a predicted model, not a curated record. NCBI's taxonomy places the organism in Eukaryota, Metazoa, Chordata, Aves, Anseriformes, Anatidae. The transcript has 2 exons.
GUGAUGGCUGGUGAAGAGGAGCUGGUGCUGACCCGGAGCCCCGCUGCCCGCCCUGCUCUGCGGGCUGUGCCCGGGGAGGAGGGGAGGUAUUUCGGGGGCAGCUUUGCAGCACCCGCUCUUUUGUAACAGCACCGCGUGCCUGGCCGGGGCUGUGGGAAUCACCGGACUCUCACAGGGGCUGCCUGUAGCGACAGGAACCAAAGGGCUAAUUAAGACAACAAGGAGAGA